GACGAACGCUGGCGGCGUGCCUAAUACAUGCAAGUAGAACGCACAGUUUAUACCGUAGCUUGCUACACCAUAGACUGUGAGUUGCGAACGGGUGAGUAACGCGUAGGUAACCUGCCUGGUAGCGGGGGAUAACUAUUGGAAACGAUAGCUAAUACCGCAUAAUAUUCAUUAUUGCAUGAUAAUUAAUUGAAAGGUGCAAUUGCACCACUACCAGAUGGACCUGCGUUGUAUUAGCUAGUAGGUGAGGUAACGGCUCACCUAGGCGACGAUACAUAGCCGACCUGAGGUGGGGAGUGGCCCACCUGGGAGUGAGAACCGGCCCAGACUCCGUCGGGGGGGAGCCGUAUGGAAUCUUGCGGAAUGGACGAAAGUCUGAACGAGCAACGCCGCGUGAGGGAAGAAGGUUUUCGGAUCGUAAAGCUCUGUUGUAAGGGAAGAACGGGUGUGAGAGUGGAAAGUUCACACUGUGACGGUAUCUUACCAGAAAGGGACGGCUAACUACGUG
This 505-nucleotide ribosomal RNA is filed under the name uncultured bacterium. RNAcentral's name for it is "partial 16S ribosomal RNA". It matches the Rfam family "Bacterial small subunit ribosomal RNA", at positions 28 to 507 of the family's 1533-position model. The record is from RNAcentral.